Molecule: unclassified non-coding RNA, 227 nt
Filed under: uncultured Tomentellopsis
Lineage: Eukaryota; Fungi; Basidiomycota; Agaricomycetes; Thelephorales; Thelephoraceae
Description: sequence contains ITS2
Source: RNAcentral
AAUUCUCAACUGUCCCAGGCUUUGUGGCUUGUGGGUGAAGUUGGACUUGGAGGCAUGCUGGCGCAUGAAUGGGCUUUGUGUCCUGCUGUGCUUGUCGGCUCCUCUUGAAUGUAUGAGCUUUCCAAUCCUUGGCAAAGUAUCAUCGAUGUGAUAAUUAUCUGCAUCGCCUGAGAAAGCCUAACAGGGGGAAAUCUUUGAUCACGUUGGGGGUGACCCGCGUCUGACAA